This 238-nucleotide ribosomal RNA is filed under the name uncultured bacterium. Its description in RNAcentral is "partial 16S ribosomal RNA". It matches the Rfam family "Bacterial small subunit ribosomal RNA", at positions 15 to 233 of the family's 1533-position model. The record is from RNAcentral.
GAUCAUGGCUCAGGAUGAACGCUAGCUACAGGCUUAACACAUGCAAGUCGAACGAAGCACUCUAUUUGAUUUUCUUCGGAAAUGAAGAUUUUGUAACUGAGUGGCGGACGGGUGAGUAACGCGUGGGUAACCUGCCUCAUACAGGGGGAUAACAGUUGGAAACGACUGCUAAUACCGCAUAAGCGCACAGGAUUGCAUGAUCCGGUGUGAAAAACUCCGGUGGUAUGAGAUGGACCCG